GACGAACGCUGGCGGCGUGCCUAAUACAUGCAAGUAGAACGCUGAAGGAGGAGCUUGCUUCUCUGGAUGAGUUGCGAACGGGUGAGUAACGCGUAGGUAACCUGCCUGGUAGCGGGGGAUAACUAUUGGAAACGAUAGCUAAUACCGCAUAAGAGUAGAUGUUGCAUGACAUUUGCUUAAAAGGUGCAAUUGCAUCACUACCAGAUGGACCUGCGUUGUAUUAGCUAGUUGGUGGGGUAACGGCUCACCAAGGCGACGAUACAUAGCCGACCUGAGAGGGUGAUCGGCCACACUGGGACUGAGACACGGCCCAGACUCCUACGGGAGGCAGCAGUAGGGAAUCUUCGGCAAUGGACGGAAGUCUGACCGAGCAACGCCGCGUGAGUGAAGAAGGUUUUCGGAUCGUAAAGCUCUGUUGUAAGAGAAGAACGAGUGUGAGAGUGGAAAGUUCACACUGCGACGGUAUCUUACCAGAAAGGGACGGCUAACUACGUGCCAGCAGCCGCGGUAAUACGUAGGUCCCGAGCGUUGUCCGGAUUUAUUGGGCGUAAAGCGAGCGCAGGCGGUUAGAUAAGUCUGAAGUUAAAGGCUGUGGCUUAACCAUAGUACGCUUUGGAAACUGUUUAACUUGAGUGCAAGAGGGGAGAGUGGAAUUCCAUGUGUAGCGGUGAAAUGCGUAGAUAUAUGGAGGAACACCGGUGGCGAAAGCGGCUCUCUGGCUUGUAACUGACGCUGAGGCUCGAAAGCGUGGGGAGCAAACAGG
This 763-nucleotide ribosomal RNA is filed under the name uncultured Streptococcus sp. RNAcentral describes it as "bacterial SSU rRNA". It matches the Rfam family "Bacterial small subunit ribosomal RNA", at positions 28 to 776 of the family's 1533-position model. The record is from RNAcentral. Lineage: Bacteria; Bacillati; Bacillota; Bacilli; Lactobacillales; Streptococcaceae.